Long non-coding RNA from Myotis brandtii (Brandt's bat), 501 nucleotides. RefSeq lists it as uncharacterized. NCBI's taxonomy places the organism in Eukaryota, Metazoa, Chordata, Mammalia, Chiroptera, Vespertilionidae. The record is from RefSeq and is a predicted model, not a curated record. The transcript is spliced from 3 exons.
CAAAGGUUAACAGUAAUUUCUGAAAGCGUAUAACCGGUAUUAUUUUUGCAAACAUCCUCACACAUGUUGUCUUGUUAAAGGUUAAAGGUGAAGAGUAAUUUCAACGCUAGUAGUUUUGAUUUGAAACACGUGACCAAAGCGCCUCAUCUUCCGGGACCCCAGGAAGGAGAAAAAGCAGUUCUUUGCAAAAUCGAAGGGUUAUGCUCUCUGGAAAAAGGACCGCUACAUUCUCAGCAGGGAAAGCGUCCAGAUCACGAGGAGGCCAAGGCUGAAAGGCCCUCCUUGAGCCUCAGCCUGAAGGCAGAGCGGAGGGAAGACCAGGAUGCGGUUUCGGCAGCCAAGGAGCACACACCCUGACCCUGGACUGGCCAAGAGGACACAGGAAGGUUGCUCUGGAGGAAGCCACCUGCCAGCAGGCAUCAGGGUGAGGACCACGGGAGGCGCUCAGGGCUGUCCUGGGUCUGAGAAAAGCAUCUGCAAUAAACCUCACUUGACGUUUGA